CCCUGUAACGCAAUGGGUAGGUGCGUUGAACUUCUAAUCCAAAGGUCGUGGGUUCGAAUCCCACCUGGAAGG
Molecule: transfer RNA, 72 nt
Filed under: Trichonephila inaurata madagascariensis
Lineage: Eukaryota; Metazoa; Arthropoda; Arachnida; Araneae; Nephilidae
Description: tRNA-Arg
Rfam family: tRNA
About the family: Transfer RNA (tRNA) molecules are approximately 80 nucleotides in length. Their secondary structure includes four short double-helical elements and three loops (D, anti-codon, and T loops). Further hydrogen bonds mediate the characteristic L-shaped molecular structure. tRNAs have two regions of fundamental functional importance: the anti-codon, which is responsible for specific mRNA codon recognition, and the 3' end, to which the tRNAs corresponding amino acid is attached (by aminoacyl-tRNA synthetases). tRNAs cope with the degeneracy of the genetic code in two manners: having more than one tRNA (with a specific anti-codon) for a particular amino acid; and 'wobble' base-pairing, i.e. permitting non-standard base-pairing at the 3rd anti-codon position.
Source: RNAcentral